This 245-nucleotide ribosomal RNA is filed under the name uncultured bacterium. RNAcentral describes it as "partial 16S ribosomal RNA". It matches the Rfam family "Bacterial small subunit ribosomal RNA", at positions 524 to 768 of the family's 1533-position model. The record is from RNAcentral.
GACGUAGGAGGCAAGCGUUAUCCGGAUUUACUGGGCGUAAAGAGCGCGCGGGCGGCUUAACAAGUCAGAUGUAAAAUCUCCCGGCUUAACUGGGAGGAGCCAUCUGAUACUGUUAAGCUUGAGUGCAUCAGAGGGAGAUGGAAUUCCCGGUGUAGUGGUGAAAUGCGUAGAUAUCGGGAGGAACACCAGUGGCGAAAGCGGUCUCCUAGGGUGUUACUGACGCUGAGGCGCGAAAGUGUGGGGAG